UGUUACUUGGUGAUAUGUCCAAAGCCUUUGAUCCAGUAGAUCAGGCAAAGCUCCUGCAACAUCUGUCUGACAUUGAACUGUGUCCAAGGUUACUAGCCUGGCUCCACAGCUACACCACAGGUAGAAGACAGAGGGUGUUGGUUACUAGCCUGGCUCCACAGCUACACCACCAGAAGAAGACAGAGGGUGGUGGUUACUAGCCUGGCUCCACAGCUACACCACCAGAAGAAGACAGAGGGUGGUGGUUACUAGCCUGGCUCCACAGCUACACCACAGGAAGAAGACAGAGGGUGAUGGUUACUAGCCUGGCUCCACAGCUACACCACCGGUAGAAGACAGAGGGUGAUGGUUACUAGCCUGGCUCCACAGCUACACCACCGGUAGAAGACAGAGGGUGAUGGUUACUAGCCUGGC
Oncorhynchus tshawytscha (Chinook salmon) is the source of this 414-nucleotide long non-coding RNA. NCBI's taxonomy places the organism in Eukaryota, Metazoa, Chordata, Actinopteri, Salmoniformes, Salmonidae. The record is from Ensembl.